GUGGGGAAUAUUGGGCAAUGGGGGAAACCCUGACCCAGCAACGCCGCGUGAAGGAAGAAGGUUUUCGGAUCGUAAACUUCUAUCCUUGGUGAAGAUAAUGACGGUAGCCAAGAAGGAAGCACCGGCUAACUACGUGCCAGCAGCCGCGGUAAUACGUAGGGGGCAAGCGUUGUCCGGAAUGAUUGGGCGUAAAGGGCGCGUAGGCGGCCUGGUAAGUCUGGAGUGAAAGUCCUGCUUUUAAGGUGGGAAUUGGUUUGGAUACUGGCGGGCGUGAGUGCAGGAGAGGUAAGCGGAAUUCCCGGUGUAGCGGUGAAAUGCGUAGAGAUCGGGAGGAACACCAGUGGCGAAGGCGGCUUACUGGACUGUAACUGACGCUGAGGCGCGAAAGUGUGGGGAGCAAACAGGAUUAGAUACCCGGGUAGUCC
RNAcentral lists this ribosomal RNA (425 nucleotides) under uncultured bacterium. Its description in RNAcentral is "partial 16S ribosomal RNA". It matches the Rfam family "Bacterial small subunit ribosomal RNA", at positions 354 to 796 of the family's 1533-position model. The record is from RNAcentral.